This 363-nucleotide ribosomal RNA is filed under the name uncultured Symbiodinium. Its description in RNAcentral is "partial Eukaryotic large subunit ribosomal RNA". It matches the Rfam family "Eukaryotic large subunit ribosomal RNA", at positions 1469 to 1887 of the family's 3401-position model. Lineage: Eukaryota; Dinophyceae; Suessiales; Symbiodiniaceae. The record is from RNAcentral.
AUUCCAAUGAGAACUUGGAAGACUGAAGAGGAGAAGGUUUUCAUGAGACUGCAGUAGGUCAUGAGUGACCCGACCCUAACUCCAGGGAAAGGGGAUGUGGUUAACAUUCCACAGGUAGGCGUUGCAGAGUGGCGACACUAGCAACUGCAAGACGGCGGGGACGUCCCGGGGAGAGUUCUCUUUUCUGCUUAACACCAUGACUGUCUGGAAGGCCUUUACGGCGAGAGAGACGCUAGUGGUGGAAGAGCAGCACACUCUUAGUGCUGUCCGGAGUGCUGUUCACGCCCCUUGAAAAUUGCAGUUGUGCUGCAGGCCUAGUCGUACCGAAUCCGCAACAGGUCUCCAAGGUUAGCAGCCUCUAGU